GAGGGUAUAGCUCAGUGAUAGAGCGCAUGCUUAGCAUGCACAAGAUCUGGGGUUCAAUCCCCGGCACCUCUA
RNAcentral lists this transfer RNA (72 nucleotides) under Camelus bactrianus (Bactrian camel). It matches the Rfam family "tRNA". Rfam says of the family: Transfer RNA (tRNA) molecules are approximately 80 nucleotides in length. Their secondary structure includes four short double-helical elements and three loops (D, anti-codon, and T loops). Lineage: Eukaryota; Metazoa; Chordata; Mammalia; Artiodactyla; Camelidae. RNAcentral also lists the same sequence under 2 other names. The record is from Rfam by way of RNAcentral.